RNAcentral lists this transfer RNA (63 nucleotides) under Halocynthia aurantium. RNAcentral's name for it is "tRNA-Phe". Lineage: Eukaryota; Metazoa; Chordata; Ascidiacea; Stolidobranchia; Pyuridae. The record is from RNAcentral.
GUGCUUAUAGUUUAUGAGGUAAAACAAGUUCUUGAAAAGGACUAGAAGUAUUUUCUGAGCACA